Aedes aegypti (yellow fever mosquito) is the source of this 1142-nucleotide long non-coding RNA. RefSeq lists it as uncharacterized. NCBI's taxonomy places the organism in Eukaryota, Metazoa, Arthropoda, Insecta, Diptera, Culicidae. The record is from RefSeq and is a predicted model, not a curated record. The transcript is spliced from 4 exons.
CAUAUGGACAGCCUUACUGGCACGGUAAACCUAGCUGUCCAUGCUUAAAAAGAUCCGACAACGUCAUUUCCUCAAUUAGCAUAUGUAACAAUCUUUCUAACUGGUAUUUUCUGACAGUGGUUUGAGUAAGUCCGACAACCGUUACGAGUUGUGUCGGCCCAAUUGCUACCCUGCGCAGAAUGGUUGACAAUCCGACGAAGUGUCAAACUUCGGCACUUCGUCAUCGUUCUUAUUGGAUCGAGUGGUGGUAAUAUAAGACGAAUCAAGGGGAUUCGUCCUUCUUUGCCGUUUGACUUUUGAAGAAAAUAGUAGUGCGCGCCGUAAAGUGUCCUAGCUAAAAAAUUUGCCCUAAAUUACGAUUAGUAUCGAAUGUUAGUAGUUCAAAUUAGUGGUAUAAAAGUGUUAGUACGUUGUGAACAAGCAGUUAAACACGAAAACGAACAUCUAUAACAAUUACCAACUUAUAACAAAGAAAAGGUCCGAAAUCGGGCCUUUUCUUUUUGCGUUUCCUCGCGUGGUUUAUCCCGGAGGAACUUCUUUUAUCCGCAGUGAAGCCAAAGGACCAGUUUGGAGUGUAGGAAAGUUGGUUGGUGUGCCGAUAACCAGCUUAGUUCCGCCCGCCAUCUUGGAGCGUCCGUUCCAACAAUAGCAUCGACGCCAUUUUGAAAUUUCGGCCAUUGCAACAUCUUUACGGCUUCCUUACCGCUUUCAACGUUCGGUCAGUCGGAUUAAGACCAAUCCCGACAAGGAACCCGAACGAAAGAAGCCCAGCUGGUGGGCCACAGUCCGUCCAGCAACCCUACAUUGCCACAAUCCGUCCAACAACCCUACAUUUCCACACCGGCAAGAAACAGAUUCGAAAGAAGCCCAGCUGGUGGGCCCUAGUCCAUUCAGCAAUCACGGAAUCCAGUCGAUGAAGGCCAUGCUGGUGGGUCAUAGUCCGUUCAGCAGCCAUCUCAGGGAAAUAGCUUAACGCCCUCGGUCGAGGACCGAAUACCGACCCUCUUUCGCCCGUUUUCUCGCCAACAACCCGCCCAAUUCGCCGACAUCCAGCCAAGUUAGCCACCGUUCAUCACCAUCAAGCCUCGCCAACAACCCACCAAAAGCGCAAGUACCAUGUAACCGUCUCUCCACCAUACCAA